UGUGCCGACGACGCGGUUGGUGUUGACCUGGUUCUGGUCGCCGCCGAAGAUCCUGGCCAUGCCGAAGUCGGAGAUCUUGGGGUUCAUGUCGCGGUCGAGGAGGAUGUUGCUGGCCUUGAGGUCGCGGUGCACCACGCGGAGCCUCGAGUCGCGGUGGAGGUACAGGAGCCCUCGCGCCACGCCUUCGAUGAUCUGGAACCUCAAAAAUGUUGCUGGAUUCUGAGGGUGUACGUACCGAAGAGGAAGGCGUCGAGGCUCUUGUUGGGCAUGUAUUCGUACACCAGUAUCUUCUCCUCGCCCUGGAUGCAGCAUCCCAGCAACCUGACAAGAUUGCGGUGCUGCAGCUUCGCGAUCAGGAUCACCUCGUUCUUGAACUCCUCCAGCCCCUGCCCGGAGCUCCGGGACAGCCUCUUCACCGCGAUCUCUUCUCCUCCAGGGAGCCUUCCCUGA
Molecule: long non-coding RNA, 450 nt
Filed under: Oryza sativa Indica Group (long-grained rice)
Lineage: Eukaryota; Viridiplantae; Streptophyta; Magnoliopsida; Poales; Poaceae
Description: lncRNA OsZS97_07G018490
Source: RNAcentral